Molecule: ribosomal RNA, 545 nt
Filed under: Candidozyma auris
Lineage: Eukaryota; Fungi; Ascomycota; Pichiomycetes; Serinales; Metschnikowiaceae
Description: [Candida] auris partial 26S ribosomal RNA
Rfam family: Eukaryotic large subunit ribosomal RNA
Source: RNAcentral
UAAGCGGAGGAAAAGAAACCAACAGGGAUUGCCUCAGUAACGGCGAGUGAAGCGGCAAGAGCUCAACUUUGGAAUCGCUCCGGCGAGUUGUAGUCUGGAGGUGGCCACCACGAGGUGUUCUAGCAGCAGGCAAGUCCUUUGGAACAAGGCGCCAGCGAGGGUGACAGCCCCGUACCUGCUUUUGCUAGUGCUUCCUGUGGCCCACCGACGAGUCGAGUUGUUUGGGAAUGCAGCUCUAAGUGGGUGGUAAAUUCCAUCUAAGGCUAAAUAUUGGCGAGAGACCGAUAGCGAACAAGUACAGUGAUGGAAAGAUGAAAAGCACUUUGAAAAGAGAGUGAAACAGUACGUGAAAUUGUUGAAAGGGAAGGGCUUGCACCCAGACACGGUUUCGGCCGGGCCAGCAUCAAGUAGAACGGGGUUAAAAGACCUGGGGAAUGUAGCUACCUCUUGGUAGUGUUAUAGCCCUUGGGUGAUGACCCCUGUUUUGCUUGAGGACAGCGGUCUCUAGGAUGCUGGCGCAAUGGUUGCAAGCCACCCGUCUUGAA